AUUGCACGCUGGCGGCAGGCUUAACACAUGCAAGUCGAGCGGAGCGAAGGUGCUUGCACCUUAGCUUAGCGGCGGACGGGUGAGUAAUGCUUAGGAAUCUGCCUAUUAGUGGGGGACAACAUUCCGAAAGGAAUGCUAAUACCGCAUACGCCCUACGGGGGAAAGCAGGGGAUCUUCGGACCUUGCGCCAAUAGAUGAGCCUAAGUCAGAUUAGCUAGUUGGUGGGGUAAAGGCCUACCAAGGCGACGAUCUGUAGCGGGUCUGAGAGGAUGAUCCGCCACACUGGGACUGAGACACGGCCCAGACUCCUACGGGAGGCAGCAGUGGGGAAUAUUGGACAAUGGGCGAAAGCCUGAUCCAGCCAUGCCGCGUGUGUGAAGAAGGCCUUUUGGUUGUAAAGCACUUUAAGCGAGGAGGAGGCUACUUGGAUUAAUACUCUAGGAUAGUGGACGUUACUCGCAGAAUAAGCACCGGCUAACUCUGUGCCAGCAGCCGCGGUAAUACAGAGGGUGCGAGCGUUAAUCGGAUUUACUGGGCGUAAAGCGUGCGUAGGCGGCUUUUUAAGUCGGAUGUGAAAUCCCUGAGCUUAACUUAGGAAUUGCAUUCGAUACUGGGAAGCUAGAGUAUGGGAGAGGAUGGUAGAAUUCCAGGUGUAGCGGUGAAAUGCGUAGAGAUCUGGAGGAAUACC
Molecule: ribosomal RNA, 688 nt
Filed under: uncultured bacterium
Lineage: Bacteria
Description: bacterial SSU rRNA
Rfam family: Bacterial small subunit ribosomal RNA
Source: RNAcentral